Molecule: long non-coding RNA, 682 nt
Organism: Populus euphratica (Euphrates poplar)
Lineage: Eukaryota; Viridiplantae; Streptophyta; Magnoliopsida; Malpighiales; Salicaceae
Exons: 2
Source: RefSeq, a predicted model, not a curated record
ACAAAUAACAAUCUUUACCAAAAUGAAAAUGAAAUAUUUAUAUAUUUACAAACUGAGAUAAAUUAAUUGAUCUAGAAAUUUACUAAAAAAAUACACCGUCCAGCUUUAGUGUGAAUGGAUUUUAAGAUGAAAGAGGAGAUACCAUGUUGGAGAUCGGGCCUUUACCAACAAGUUAAAAGUACUUUCUUGGGCCGAAUGAAAACUUAAUAAGUAAGAAAUGGCCCAUUUAUAGUUAAACUAAUGCAUUAUAUGUUUCAAGAUUCAUUCCAUUACUUGGGCCAGUUUGAGGCCUAUGCCUAGAGAAAGAGGAUCCGUGGACUAAUAUAAUUUACCAUAAAAAAUGAGAAAAAAAGGGGAAGGACGAAACUAUGUCAAGGAGAGGCAGAAGUCUAGCAUACCGAGGAGGUUCCAAGAUCAUCAGCAAGGCGAAAAAUCAUGGAUGACCAUCCAAUUAUAUAUGGGUAUUCCUCCAUGAAUUGUGACGCCUCCUCUGUUGUUGGAUUGGAAACAUAAAAAUAUGCAUGAACUAGAAUCACUGGCGCUGAAAUUGAAAUCCAUGCAUUAUCCAUGUAUUCUUGAAGAGUUGGUGUAUAUCCACUGGAAGUACCACUUAGCCUCCAAUAAAUAUGAUUUACGUAAGUCUGCCCACUGAAAAUUAACCAUAGUCUUGUAUUCCCAAAAG